AAAGCCUCUUCUAGGGUGGUUGCCUGGCAGCCCUUCAUCCAAUUGCGGGCUGCCCGCUGCAGGCGAAAAGCCCAUUCCGUAUGGGAAUCUCUCCCGGUCUUUCUCAGUUCUCUAAACUUUUUCCGGUAUGCCUCCGGAGUUACCGCAUAUCUGGCCAACAAAAUGUCUUUUAUUUUCUCAUAAUUAUGUAUGUCCCCCUCAGGUACUGCUCGCAGCGCCUCGGCUGCUCUACCUGACAAUUUACUGCUGACGACUGCAG
Non-coding RNA from Pelobates cultripes (western spadefoot toad), 259 nucleotides. The record is from the annotation of a GenBank genome assembly. NCBI's taxonomy places the organism in Eukaryota, Metazoa, Chordata, Amphibia, Anura, Pelobatidae.